Molecule: small nucleolar RNA, 90 nt
Organism: Crocodylus porosus (Australian saltwater crocodile)
Lineage: Eukaryota; Metazoa; Chordata; Crocodylia; Crocodylidae
Source: Ensembl
UCUGUGGUACAUGAUGACUUAAACUUUUUUCCCCAUCAUAUCGGCUAUGCUGAUUUCUUGAAUUCAAGCCAAAUUGUCUGAUUCCACAGA